AUUCUACUAAAAACAUAUUUGGCUAAAUAAUUCUCCUUUUGCCAUAUAGAAGUCAUGGUGAAAUUUUUUUUAAAGGCGAUGAACUAUUUACCACCUUUAUAAAAGCGGUAACGAAAUAAUAAAAGAGAAAGACGGUGAAUAAUUUACCAUUUUGGUGAAAAAUUAAAAAAACGGUAAAUUAUUUAUCGUCUUCAUGAAGCGGUAAACUAAAUUUUCACCAUGGGCCCGUGGCUCCUACAUUACAAAAGAAGGGUUAGUUUGCCAAUUUUUUUUUUAUAGAAUUGUUUAUCAAAUUAAAAAAUUCUGUAGGGUUAUUUUCAAAAAAAGUCUGCGUGCAAGAUAAUUUUAAAGUUUGCGAGGAUAUAUAAGUAAUUUUCUAUUUUUU
Molecule: long non-coding RNA, 385 nt
Filed under: Ananas comosus (pineapple)
Lineage: Eukaryota; Viridiplantae; Streptophyta; Magnoliopsida; Poales; Bromeliaceae
Description: long non-coding RNA (ACOM_LNC025012)
Source: RNAcentral